RNAcentral lists this long non-coding RNA (740 nucleotides) under Lactuca sativa (garden lettuce). Its description in RNAcentral is "long non-coding RNA (LSAT_LNC001330)". Lineage: Eukaryota; Viridiplantae; Streptophyta; Magnoliopsida; Asterales; Asteraceae. The record is from RNAcentral.
CUUAACCUUCCGAGCCCUAGCUCUCAGGCGAUUUAGGCGACCCUACCGCCGGUGCUUCCUUCUCAUCAUCGGUGAUGUGUUCACCUCCGUCAACCAAUUUGUGAUUUUAUAUUCUAGUUCUAGAUUUUCGUUAUGAAUUUGGUUUUGAUUUGUUGAAGGUUAGUCCACAGACUCGCAAAAUGAGAGCUGCCUCUAAAAGAAGGGGUACUGAAAUCAAAUGACAUCUAUAUCAAUGCAGAUAAGGCAUCCGUACAUCGAAAAAAAUGUGUUAGUGCUAUCGUUCCUUUUCAUCUACAGAUUUCGUCGAGAAUCAUUUAACACCUUUCUCCCUGUUCCCAAUUUCACUUGACAUUUGGAUGUCGUGACUGAUCUCUGCAAAUCUGAUUUCGUGAUUUAGAGUGAGGAUAUUUCUAAUGACGUGAUUUUUUAGAAUAUGCUUACUGGAUUUCCUUCUUACUUAAUAUACAUGCAUAUCUCUGUCUUGUGUGAUUUCAGAAGCCCCAACUACAGUAUUAUGUUCGAUUUUGUAUUUGUUGAGCUAAGGGUUAAAUUAGGACUCAUAGGGAGCAAAUUUGUACUAACCAUGUUUCAUUUUUAGGCUUGAACAGCCUUGUUAGGGGAGAACCUUCUUUCCAAAAAAAGAGAUAUGUUUCAUUUUAGGCCGGCUAUUGCAAAAUUCCGUCAUAUUGAAUUUCACAGAGCUAGAUUAAUUUAGUUCAUUGAUCUUUACCAUGUUCAAG